GGCUCCAUAGUGUAGUGGUUAGUACAUCUGCUUUACACGCAGAAGGUCCUGUGUUCGUGAGCCAGGUGGAGCCA
Molecule: transfer RNA, 74 nt
Filed under: Pteropus alecto (black flying fox)
Lineage: Eukaryota; Metazoa; Chordata; Mammalia; Chiroptera; Pteropodidae
Rfam family: tRNA
About the family: Transfer RNA (tRNA) molecules are approximately 80 nucleotides in length.
Source: Rfam by way of RNAcentral